Molecule: transfer-messenger RNA, 402 nt
Filed under: pig gut metagenome
Rfam family: transfer-messenger RNA
About the family: Bacterial tmRNA, also known as 10Sa RNA or SsrA, is named for its dual tRNA and mRNA-like properties.
Source: RNAcentral
GGGGCUGAACUGGAUUUGACAGCGUUGCAAAGUGGUGCGUAAGCAUGCGGAGCGUCGGUAUGCCGGCUCCAUAAUCUCGGGUACUAACCUUUUAACUGGCAACAACUCUUACGCUCUCGCAGCCUAAUCGAAGCAUAGUAGAUAGGCUUCAUCCUUUUCAUAGUGAAGAGGACGAGACGUCUCCCAGAUGCCCACUCCUUGAGGCGGUCUGAUUCGGAGGCGCAGAAAAAUCAGGGAUGGUCUGCGGGGUGCUCCUCUCCAAGGACGAGAUUUUAAAGAGCUAAGGUGCGGCGUUGGGUGCCUUCCUCCAAGCCAAACUCGAAAACCCGAAGGACGGAUAAGCAUGUAGAAAGCGCAUGACUUCAAUGUUUGGACUGGGGUUCGAUCCCCCACAGCUCCACA